AGGCCAGCACCACCUAAAGAGCAAAAGUUGGCCAUCCAGAAGUUCAAUACACAAGUACCAAUUAAUAAGGUAACUUGUGCUACAGCCAUGAAAAAGAAGUGUGAAGAUUUGGACUUGUGCUUACUGCCAUGUUUGUAAUAAGAUACUAUAUAACUCGCAUUUCUUAUAUGUUCCUUGUUCAUUUGUGUGCUUUCAUUUUAAAGCUCAUAUGGUCGUUUCUUGACGCAACUGCAUGCACAUACUGUCGAUAUUAUACGUAUAAUUUCUAAUGCUAAUUUUUUCUACGUCAUAUCAGGUUACAGAAUGGCCGCCAGAUGUGUUAAAAAUUUGUUCAUACAUAUGAACAUGGACGAUUACUUGACACAUGAAUGGUAUGGAAAUCAGGAUCUAGCUCAAUUUAAUCUGAAAGCAGCAACAUGAAUGGUAUGAAAUAGUAAAAUUUCAUUUCCCUCGUGGCAUGCAGCAUCUUGUCGCACCAUGCCUCUCCUACUCGCUCGCAGGCGCCCCCGGACCAGUUCAUCAUGAAUCGCCAAAGGACAGGGGUCCGACACUCAAAGCAUCAGAGCAACCAAAUUGAUGGUGAUUAACUGAUGUACUUUUCCUUUAAUCAUCCAGCAAACCAACCUCUGAUGUUGAUAGUAAAAAAGAAACUUUUCUAUGGUAUUAUCUUUCUAGCAAUAAUGGUCAGGCAUGACCAAACAUAAUAAGAUAAAUGUAUAACCCAGAUUUUGAAAAAAAAAUCUUGCAUGAUCAUUAUAUUUAUAGCAGUAAUUUGCGCUUGUGAUGAUCAGUGAAGUUUUGCAUCAUACACAUAUUUCUAGACAGACAUUCGGGAUUUUGUUGUGUCUUGCAUUCAUGUGCUCUUAUUCCCCAACUUAUUUUUGUAACAAGAAGAGGAUUAAAGAUGAGUCGGGAUCAUCAACUCACCAUCUAUGCAGCAGUAAUCACUCUUAACCCCCCCCCCCCCCCCCCCUUUGUUUGGUGAUCGCAUAAUAGUCUCCUUUGCUGUUUUUAUGGUGCCUUUUUUAACCGGUACAAAUUUCAGAGAUUCCUCAUACAUUUGGAUGGUUUGCGCUGCUUUGAACUGUAAAAUUUAUAUUUGGAUGUUUUUAUGGUAACGCGUAUGGACGGUCAACAGUCCACCCAAGCAUGGCCUUCGACUUACCAAAAGUUAGACCGUGGACGGACUAGCAAGCCAAUAUCUUCUUUCCAGUUAACUUGCACACCUUUUCUUCUAUUUUGUGAUGCCAUGUGAGAGACUAUAUUAGACGUGUCAUUUAGUUGUCCCAAAUUACUAAUUCUUUCGCAGAUUCAGAAGCCACCACAACUUGGGUCACUAUUGAAAGGGCUCUUGGCCUAUUUUCUCGUUUACUAAUUGGACUAAUGACAUAAAUUAUUUUGGUGUCUUAUUUCUUAUUUAAUUUCUGUAGUGAUGUUUAUGUAUAGUUUAUUCAUAGAUGGUAAGACCAAGUAGGCCGAUGUCAAAUGCAUUAUAGAUCAUGACAGAGUUGACACUAAUUUCAUAUCUGCAAGUUUUUUUGAUCCUGUACCAAAACUAUUGUUGAUGCUUUAGUAGCCCUGUGCUUGUAGAGCAGAGGAUCACUUCCAUGUUAUAUUUUCAAUGCAUACUUUGAAUUGGUACUUUUACUUUUGGGGUUGCCCUCAAUGAUCGCCGCUAAUUUCCAGCCUACAUAAUAAUGCCAAAAGUAGAAGUAUGCACUGCAAAAUUUUGGGGAGCAACAUGAAUCAUGGUUUAGGCAAGCAUAUCUUUGUUCUGGCGUUGUACAGAUAGUAAAGCUCUCUAAUGUGGCGAAAUCAUGCUUUGUGGAGUGCUUAUUGCUUUCCUGUUUUUCAGGAAACAUGAUUGUUCCUUUUCCCUAUCCAAUAUGGAUGCGGUGAGUUGUUG
RNAcentral lists this long non-coding RNA (1906 nucleotides) under Hordeum vulgare. RNAcentral describes it as "long non-coding RNA (HVUL_LNC005987)". The record is from RNAcentral. Lineage: Eukaryota; Viridiplantae; Streptophyta; Magnoliopsida; Poales; Poaceae.